AAACCAACCGGGAUUGCCUUAGUAACGGCGAGUGAAGCGGCAAAAGCUCAAAUUUGAAAUCUGGUACCUUCGGUGCCCGAGUUGUAAUUUGGAGAGGGCAACUUUGGGGCCGUUCCUUGUCUAUGUUCCUUGGAACAGGACGUCAUAGAGGGUGAGAAUCCCGUGUGGCGAGGAGUGCGGUUCUUUGUAAAGUGCCUUCGAAGAGUCGAGUUGUUUGGGAAUGCAGCUCUAAGUGGGUGGUAAAUUCCAUCUAAAGCUAAAUAUUGACGAGAGACCGAUAGUGAACAAGUACAGUGAUGGAAAGAUGAAAAGAACUUUGAAAAGAGAGUGAAAAAGUACGUGAAAUCGUUGAAAGGGAAGGGCAUUUGAUCAGACAUGGUGUUUUGUGCCCUCUGCUCCUUGUGGGUAGGGGAAUCUCGCAUUUCACUGGGCCAGCAUCAGUUUUGGUGGCAGGAUAAAUCCAUAGGAAUGUAGCUUGCCUCGGUAAGUAUUAUAGCCUGUGGGAAUACUGCCAGCUGGGACUGAGGACUGCGACGUAAGUCAAGGAUGCUGGCAUAAUGGUUAUAUGCCGC
RNAcentral lists this ribosomal RNA (572 nucleotides) under Saccharomyces cerevisiae (brewer's yeast). Its description in RNAcentral is "partial large subunit ribosomal RNA". It matches the Rfam family "Eukaryotic large subunit ribosomal RNA", at positions 62 to 648 of the family's 3401-position model. The record is from RNAcentral. Lineage: Eukaryota; Fungi; Ascomycota; Saccharomycetes; Saccharomycetales; Saccharomycetaceae.